RNAcentral lists this ribosomal RNA (68 nucleotides) under Haemophilus influenzae. Its description in RNAcentral is "partial 16S ribosomal RNA". It matches the Rfam family "Bacterial small subunit ribosomal RNA", at positions 1 to 66 of the family's 1533-position model. Lineage: Bacteria; Pseudomonadati; Pseudomonadota; Gammaproteobacteria; Pasteurellales; Pasteurellaceae. The record is from RNAcentral.
UUGAAUUGAAGAGUUUGAUCAUGGCUCAGAUUGAACGCUGGCGGCAGGCUUAACACAUGCAAGUCGAA